RNAcentral lists this ribosomal RNA (706 nucleotides) under Salmonella enterica. RNAcentral describes it as "bacterial SSU rRNA". It matches the Rfam family "Bacterial small subunit ribosomal RNA", at positions 1 to 696 of the family's 1533-position model. The record is from RNAcentral. Lineage: Bacteria; Pseudomonadati; Pseudomonadota; Gammaproteobacteria; Enterobacterales; Enterobacteriaceae.
AAAUUGAAGAGUUUGAUCAUGGCUCAGAUUGAACGCUGGCGGCAGGCCUAACACAUGCAAGUCGAACGGUAACAGGAAGCAGCUUGCUGCUUCGCUGACGAGUGGCGGACGGGUGAGUAAUGUCUGGGAAACUGCCUGAUGGAGGGGGAUAACUACUGGAAACGGUGGCUAAUACCGCAUAACGUCGCAAGACCAAAGAGGGGGACCUUCGGGCCUCUUGCCAUCAGAUGUGCCCAGAUGGGAUUAGCUUGUUGGUGAGGUAACGGCUCACCAAGGCGACGAUCCCUAGCUGGUCUGAGAGGAUGACCAGCCACACUGGAACUGAGACACGGUCCAGACUCCUACGGGAGGCAGCAGUGGGGAAUAUUGCACAAUGGGCGCAAGCCUGAUGCAGCCAUGCCGCGUGUAUGAAGAAGGCCUUCGGGUUGUAAAGUACUUUCAGCGGGGAGGAAGGGAGUAAGGUUAAUAACCUUAUUCAUUGACGUUACCCGCAGAAGAAGCACCGGCUAACUCCGUGCCAGCAGCCGCGGUAAUACGGAGGGUGCAAGCGUUAAUCGGAAUUACUGGGCGUAAAGCGCACGCAGGCGGUCUGUCAAGUCGGAUGUGAAAUCCCCGGGCUCAACCUGGGAACUGCAUUCGAAACUGGCAGGCUGGAGUCUUGUAGAGGGGGGUAGAAUUCCAGGUGUAGCGGUGAAAUGCGUAGAGA